Molecule: ribosomal RNA, 679 nt
Filed under: fungal sp. ARIZ B377
Lineage: Eukaryota; Fungi
Description: eukaryotic LSU rRNA
Rfam family: 5.8S ribosomal RNA (bases 309-462)
Source: RNAcentral
UGGAAGUAAAAGUCGUAACAAGGUCUCCGUUGGUGAACCAGCGGAGGGAUCAUUACUGAGUUAUCAAAACUCCAAACCCUUUGUGAACCUUACCGUCGUUGCCUCGGCGUGAGCUACGGCUACCCUGUAACUACCCUGGAGCUACCCUAGAGUUACCCUAUAGCUACCCUGCACUUACCCUGCAGCUACCCUAUAGCUACCCUGGAGCUACCCUGGAGCUACCCUGUAGUCGGCUUCGGCCCGCCGAAGGACCGUUAAACUCUUGUUUUUACCACUGUUUCUCUGAAUUUUAAACUAAAAUAAGUUAAAACUUUCAACAACGGAUCUCUUGGUUCUGGCAUCGAUGAAGAACGCAGCGAAAUGCGAUAAGUAAUGUGAAUUGCAGAAUUCAGUGAAUCAUCGAAUCUYUGAACGCACAUUGCGCCCAUUAGUAUUCUAGYGGGCAUGCCUAUUCGAGCGUCAUUUCGACCCCUAAGCCCCUGUUGCUUAGCGUUGGGAAUCUACGGCGUAGUUCCUCAAAGUUAGUGGCGGAGUUAGGGUACACUCUCAGCGUAGUAAUUUCUCUCGCUCGUGUGGUGGCCCUGGCUGCUAGCCGUUAAAACCCCUAAAUUUUCUAGUGGUUGACCUCGGAUUAGGUAGGAAUACCCGCUGAACUUAAGCAUAUCAAUAAAGCGGAGGA